CAUGCAGUCGAGCGAACAGAUAAGGAGCUUGCUCCUUUGACGUUAGCGGCGGACGGGUGAGUAACACGUGGAUAACCUACCUAUAAGACUGGGAUAACUUCGGGAAACCGGAGCUAAUACCGGAUAACAUAUUGAACCGCAUGGUUCAAUAGUGAAAGGCGGCUUUGCUGUCACUUAUAGAUGGAUCCGCGCCGUAUUAGCUAGUUGGUAAGGUAACGGCUUACCAAGGCAACGAUACGUAGCCGACCUGAGAGGGUGAUCGGCCACACUGGAACUGAGACACGGUCCAGACUCCUACGGGAGGCAGCAGUAGGGAAUCUUCCGCAAUGGGCGAAAGCCUGACGGAGCAACGCCGCGUGAGUGAUGAAGGUCUUCGGAUCGUAAAACUCUGUUAUCAGGGAAGAACAAAUGUGUAAGUAACUGUGCACAUCUUGACGGUACCUGAUCAGAAAGCCACGGCUAACUACGUGCCAGCAGCCGCGGUAAUACGUAGGUGGCAAGCGUUAUCCGGAAUUAUUGGGCGUAAAGCGCGCGUAGGCGGUUUUUUAAGUCUGAUGUGAAAGCCCACGGCUCAACCGUGGAGGGUCAUUGGAAACUGGAAAACUUGAGUGCAGAAGAGGAAAGUGGAAUUCCAUGUGUAGCGGUGAAAUGCGCAGAGAUAUGGAGGAACACCAGUGGCGAAGGCGACUUUCUGGUCUGUAACUGACGCUGAUGUGCGAAAGCGUGGGGAUCAAACAGGAUUAGAUACCCUGGUAGUCCACGCCGUAAACGAUGAGUGCUAAGUGUUAGGGGGUUUCCGCCCCUUAGUGCUGCAGCUAACGCAUUAAGCACUCCGCCUGGGGAGUACGACCGCAAGGUUGAAACUCAAAGNAAUUGACGGGGACCCGCACAAGCGGUGGANCAUGUGGUUUAAUUCGAAGCAACGCGAAGAANCUUACCAAAUCUUGANNNUCCUUUGACNNNUCUAGAGAUAGAGUCUUCCCCUUNNGGGANAAAGUGACNGNNGGNNCAU
RNAcentral lists this ribosomal RNA (1012 nucleotides) under Staphylococcus sp. XYY-2015. RNAcentral's name for it is "bacterial SSU rRNA". It matches the Rfam family "Bacterial small subunit ribosomal RNA", at positions 54 to 1046 of the family's 1533-position model. The record is from RNAcentral. Lineage: Bacteria; Bacillati; Bacillota; Bacilli; Caryophanales; Staphylococcaceae.